CCUACGGGUGGCAGCAGUGAGGAAUAUUGGUCAAUGGACGAGAGUCUGAACCAGCCAAGCAGCGUGAAGGAUGACUGCCCUAUGGGUUGUAAACUUCUUUUAUAUGGGAAUAAACUGUUCCACGUGUGGGUUUUUGUAUGUACCAUAUGAAUAAGGAUCGGCUAACUCCGUGCCAGCAGCCGCGGUAAUACGGAGGAUCCGAUCGUUAUCCGGAUUUAUUGGGUUUAAAGGGAGCGUAGGUGGAUUGUUAAGUCAGUUGUGAAAGUUCGCGGCUCAACCGUAAAAUUGCAGUUGAAACUGGCAGUCUUGAGUACAGUAGAGGUGGGCGGAAUUCGUGGUGUAGCGGUGAAAUGCUUAGAUAUCACGAAGAACUCCGAUUGCGAAGGCAGCUCACUGGACUGGAACUGACACUGAGGCUCGAAAGUGUGGGUAUCAAACAGGAUUAGAUACCCUUGUAGUC
RNAcentral lists this ribosomal RNA (460 nucleotides) under uncultured bacterium. RNAcentral describes it as "partial 16S ribosomal RNA". It matches the Rfam family "Bacterial small subunit ribosomal RNA", at positions 338 to 795 of the family's 1533-position model. The record is from RNAcentral.